UACGUAGGGUGCGAGCGUUGUCCGGAAUUAUUGGGCGUAAAGGGCUCGUAGGCGGUUUGUCACGUCGAAAGUGAAAACUCAGGGCUCAACCCUGAGCCUGCUUCCGAUACGGGCAGACUAGAGGUAUGCAGGGGAGAAUGGAAUUCCUGGUGUAGCGGUGAAAUGCGCAGAUAUCAGGAGGAACACCAGUGGCGAAGGCGGUUCUCUGGGCAUUACCUGACGCUGAGGAGCGAAAGUGUGGGGAGCGAACAGG
This 253-nucleotide ribosomal RNA is filed under the name uncultured bacterium. RNAcentral's name for it is "partial 16S ribosomal RNA". It matches the Rfam family "Bacterial small subunit ribosomal RNA", at positions 524 to 776 of the family's 1533-position model. The record is from RNAcentral.